RNAcentral lists this transfer RNA (72 nucleotides) under Ovis aries (sheep). It matches the Rfam family "tRNA". From Rfam's summary of the family: Transfer RNA (tRNA) molecules are approximately 80 nucleotides in length. Lineage: Eukaryota; Metazoa; Chordata; Mammalia; Artiodactyla; Bovidae. The record is from Rfam by way of RNAcentral.
UUCCUGGUGGCUCAGAAGGUAAAGCAUCUGCCUGCAGUGCAGGAGACCCAGGUUCAAUCCCUUGGUUGGGAA